This 433-nucleotide ribosomal RNA is filed under the name uncultured bacterium. RNAcentral's name for it is "partial 16S ribosomal RNA". It matches the Rfam family "Bacterial small subunit ribosomal RNA", at positions 29 to 507 of the family's 1533-position model. The record is from RNAcentral.
AACGAACGCUGGCGGCAGGCCUAACACAUGCAAGUCGAGCGAGGACUUCGGUCCUAGCGGCGGACGGGUGAGUAACGCGUGGGAACGUGCCCUUUGCUUCGGAAUAGCCCUGGGAAACUGGGAGUAAUACCGGAUGAGCCCUUUGGGGGAAAGAUUUAUCGGCGAAGGAUCGGCCCGCGUUGGAUUAGGUAGUUGGUGGGGUAAUGGCCUACCAAGCCGACGAUCCAUAGCUGGUUUGAGAGGAUGAUCAGCCACACUGGGACUGAGACACGGCCCAGACUCCUACGGGAGGCAGCAGUGGGGAAUCUUAGACAAUGGGGGAAACCCUGAUCUAGCCAUGCCGCGUGAGCGAUGAAGGCCUUAGGGUUGUAAAGCUCUUUCAGCUGGGAAGAUAAUGACGGUACCAGCAGAGGAAGCCCCGGCUAACUCCGUG